UUGUAAUUUGUAGAAGGUGCCUCGGGGGAGAUGUAGGUGCAAGUCCCCUGGAACGGGGCGUCGCAGAGGGUGAGAAUCCCGUACGCCACCGGAGGUCGACCCCGCGUGAGGCCCUUUCGACGAGUCGAGUUGUUUGGGAAUGCAGCUCUAAAUGGGUGGUAAAUUUCAUCUAAGGCUAAAUAUCCGCCAGAGACCGAUAGCGCACAAGUAGAGUGAUCGAAAGAUGAAAAGCACUUUGAAAAGAGAGUCAAACAGUACGUGAAAUUGUUGAAAGGGAAGCGCUUGCAACCAGACUCGCCCGCGCGUGCUCAGCCGUCCUCCGGGGCGGUGCACUCUCGCGCGGGCGGGCCAGCAUCGGUUUCGGCGGCCGGACAAAGGCUCUGGGAACGUAGCUCCCUUCGGGGAGUGUUAUAGCCUGGGGUGCAAUGCGGCCCGCCGGGACCGAGGAUCGCGCUCUUGCUAGGAUGCUGGCGUAAUGGUUGCCAGCGACCCGUCUUGAAACACGGACCAAGGAGUCGACCAACCGCGCGAGUGUUUGGGUGAAAAGCCCACGACGCGCAAUGAAAGUGAACGCAGGUGGGAGCUUCGGCGCACCAUCGACCGAUCUUGAUGUCCUCGGAUGGAUUUGAGUAAGAGCGCGCUUGGUCGGACCCGAAAGUCAGUGAUCUAUGCGUGAAUAGGGUGAAGCCAGAGGAAACUCUGGUGGAGGCUCGCAGCGGUUCUGACGUGCAAAUCGAUCGUCAAAUUUGCGCAUAGGGGCGAAAGACUAAUCGAACUGACUAGUAGCUGGUUCCUGUCGAAGUUUCCCUCAGGAUAGCAGCAGCGAGAAACAGUCUCAUGAGGUAGAGCGAACGAUUAGAGGACUGGGGGGUGUAACACCCUUCACCUAUUCUCGAACUUCGAAUGCGUGAGAGGCCCUUGUCACUUAGUUGGA
RNAcentral lists this ribosomal RNA (934 nucleotides) under Graphis xanthospora. RNAcentral's name for it is "LSU rRNA". It matches the Rfam family "Eukaryotic large subunit ribosomal RNA", at positions 143 to 1099 of the family's 3401-position model. The record is from RNAcentral. Lineage: Eukaryota; Fungi; Ascomycota; Lecanoromycetes; Ostropales; Graphidaceae.